UAGGGAAUCUUCGGCAAUGGACGAAAGUCUGACCGAGCAACGCCGCGUGAGUGAAGAAGGUUUUCGGAUCGUAAAACUCUGUUGUGAGAGAAGAACAAGGACGUUAGUAACUGAACGUCCCCUGACGGUAUCUAACCAGAAAGCCACGGCUAACUACGUGCCAGCAGCCGCGGUAAUACGUAGGUGGCAAGCGUUGUCCGGAUUUAUUGGGCGUAAAGCGAGCGCAGGCGGUUUCUUAAGUCUGAUGUGAAAGCCCCCGGCUCAACCGGGGAGGGUCAUUGGAAACUGGGAGACUUGAGUGCAGAAGAGGAGAGUGGAAUUCCAUGUGUAGCGGUGAAAUGCGUAGAUAUAUGGAGGAACACCAGUGGCGAAGGCGGCUCUCUGGUCUGUACCUGACGCUGAGGCUCGAAAGCGUGGGGAGCAAACAGG
RNAcentral lists this ribosomal RNA (429 nucleotides) under Gemmatimonadota bacterium. Its description in RNAcentral is "Gemmatimonadetes bacterium partial 16S ribosomal RNA". It matches the Rfam family "Bacterial small subunit ribosomal RNA", at positions 355 to 776 of the family's 1533-position model. The record is from RNAcentral. Lineage: Bacteria; Pseudomonadati; Gemmatimonadota.